UGACUAGCCUUGUCCUCGAAUCNCUUAGCACUUAAGUUUGAUCAUGGCUCAGACGAANGCUGUAUGCAGUGCCUAACACAUGCAAGUCGGACGGUACAGGAAGCAGCUUGCUGCUUUGCUGACGAGUGGCGGACGGGUGAGUAAUGUCUGGGAAACUGCCUGAUGGAGUGGGGAUAACUACUGGAAACGGUAGCUAAUACCGCAUAACGUCGCAAGACCAAAGAGGGGGACCUUCGGGCCUCUUGCCAUCGGAUGUGCCAGAUUGGAUUAGCUAGUAGGUGGGGUAACGGCUCACCUAGUGCGACGAUNCCCUUAGGUCCUUGGUCCUGAGAGUGAUGACCCAGCCCACCACCUGGGAACUUGAGA
This 366-nucleotide ribosomal RNA is filed under the name uncultured bacterium. Its description in RNAcentral is "bacterial SSU rRNA". It matches the Rfam family "Bacterial small subunit ribosomal RNA", at positions 1 to 324 of the family's 1533-position model. The record is from RNAcentral.